Molecule: ribosomal RNA, 169 nt
Filed under: Gymnopilus junonius
Lineage: Eukaryota; Fungi; Basidiomycota; Agaricomycetes; Agaricales; Galerinaceae
Description: partial large subunit ribosomal RNA
Rfam family: Eukaryotic large subunit ribosomal RNA
Source: RNAcentral
CGGGAAAAGCUCAAAUUUAAAAGCUGGCGGUCUUUGGCCGUCCGCAUUGUAAUCUAGAGAAGUGUUACCCGCGUUGGACCGUGUACAAGUCUCCUGGAAUGGAGCGUCAUAGAGGGUGACAAUCCCGUCUUUGACACGGACUCCCAAGGCUUUGUGGUGCGCUCUCAAA